UACAGAGGGGGCAAGCGUUGUUCGGAAUUACUGGGCGUAAAGGGCGCGUAGGCGGCCUUCUAAGUCGAACGUGAAAUCCCCGGGCUCAACCCGGGAACUGCGUCCGAUACUGGAAGGCUUGAAUCCGGGAGAGGGAUGCGGAAUUCCAGGUGUAGCGGUGAAAUGCGUAGAUAUCUGGAGGAACACCGGUGGCGAAGGCGGUUCUCUGGGCCUUACCUGACGCUGAGGAGCGAAAGCGUGGGGAGCGAACAGG
RNAcentral lists this ribosomal RNA (253 nucleotides) under uncultured bacterium. RNAcentral's name for it is "partial 16S ribosomal RNA". It matches the Rfam family "Bacterial small subunit ribosomal RNA", at positions 524 to 776 of the family's 1533-position model. The record is from RNAcentral.